This 218-nucleotide ribosomal RNA is filed under the name Laportea mooreana. RNAcentral's name for it is "5.8S ribosomal RNA". The stretch from base 59 to 214 matches the Rfam family "5.8S ribosomal RNA". From Rfam's summary of the family: 5.8S ribosomal RNA (5.8S rRNA) is a component of the large subunit of the eukaryotic ribosome. It is transcribed by RNA polymerase I as part of the 45S precursor that also contains 18S and 28S rRNA. Functionally, it is thought that 5.8S rRNA may be involved in ribosome translocation. The record is from RNAcentral. Lineage: Eukaryota; Viridiplantae; Streptophyta; Magnoliopsida; Rosales; Urticaceae.
AACUAACUCGUGUCUUGUUGUUAUGCAUUCAGGGCACUGAGCUUGAAUAAGUCAUAAUGACUCUCGGCAACGGAUAUCUCGGCUCUCGGAUCGAUGAAGAACGUAGCGAAAUGCGAUACGUGGUGUGAAUUGCAGGAUCCCGUGAACCAUCGAGUUUUUGAACGCAAGUUGCGCCCGAAGCCGUCAGGCCGAGGGCACGUCUGCCUGGGCGUCACGCA